CACUCCUGCGGGAGGCAGCAGUGGGGAAUAUUGGACAAUGGGCGCAAGCCUGAUCCAGCCAUGCCGCGUGAGUGAUGAAGGCCCUAGGGUUGUAAAGCUCUUUCACCGGUGAAGAUAAUGACGGUAACCGGAGAAGAAGCCCCGGCUAACUUCGUGCCAGCAGCCGCGGUAAUACGAAGGGGGCUAGCGUUGUUCGGAUUUACUGGGCGUAAAGCGCACGUAGGCGGACUAUUAAGUCAGGGGUGAAAUCCCGGGGCUCAACCCCGGAACUGCCUUUGAUACUGGUAGUCUUGAGUUCGAGAGAGGUGGGUGGAAUUCCGAGUGUAGAGGUGAAAUUCGUAGAUAUUCGGAGGAACACCAGUGGCUAAGGCGGCUCACUGGCUCGAUACUGACGCUGAGGUGCGAAAGCGUGGUGAGCAAACAGGAUGAGAAACCCCUGUAGUCCCAUGA
Molecule: ribosomal RNA, 450 nt
Filed under: uncultured organism
Description: partial 16S ribosomal RNA
Rfam family: Bacterial small subunit ribosomal RNA
Source: RNAcentral